UGGGGAAUUUUGGACAAUGGGGGCAACCCUGAUCCAGCCAUGCCGCGUGCGGGAAGAAGGCCUUCGGGUUGUAAACCGCUUUUGUCAGGGAAGAAAUCUUCCGGGCCAAUACCCCGGAGGGAUGACGGUACCUGAAGAAUAAGCACCGGCUAACUACGUGCCAGCAGCCGCGGUAAUACGUAGGGUGCAAGCGUUAAUCGGAAUUACUGGGCGUAAAGCGUGCGCAGGCGGUUGUGCAAGACAGGUGUGAAAUCCCCGGGCUUAACCUGGGAACUGCACUUGUGACUGCACAGCUGGAGUACGGCAGAGGGGGAUGGAAUUCCGCGUGUAGCAGUGAAAUGCGUAGAUAUGCGGAGGAACACCGAUGGCGAAGGCAGUCCCCUGGGCCUGUACUGACGCUCAUGCACGAAAGCGUGGGGAGCAAACAGG
This 429-nucleotide ribosomal RNA is filed under the name uncultured Rubrivivax sp. RNAcentral's name for it is "bacterial SSU rRNA". It matches the Rfam family "Bacterial small subunit ribosomal RNA", at positions 355 to 776 of the family's 1533-position model. Lineage: Bacteria; Pseudomonadati; Pseudomonadota; Betaproteobacteria; Burkholderiales; Sphaerotilaceae. The record is from RNAcentral.